RNAcentral lists this ribosomal RNA (428 nucleotides) under uncultured bacterium. RNAcentral's name for it is "bacterial SSU rRNA". It matches the Rfam family "Bacterial small subunit ribosomal RNA", at positions 354 to 774 of the family's 1533-position model. The record is from RNAcentral.
GUAGGGAAUAUUGGACAAUGGGGGCAACCCUGAUCCAGCCAUGCCGCGUGAGUGAAGAAGGCCCUCGGGUUGUAAAGCUCUUUUGUCCGGAAAGAAAAGCAUUCGGUGAAUACCCGGAUGUUCUGACGGUACCGGAAGAAUAAGCACCGGCUAACUUCGUGCCAGCAGCCGCGGUAAUACGAAGGGUGCAAGCGUUACUCGGAAUUACUGGGCGUAAAGCGUGCGUAGGUGGUUGUUUAAGUCUGAUGUGAAAGCCCUGGGCUCAACCUGGGAAUGGCAUUGGAAACUGGGCCGCUAGAGUGCGGUAGAGGGGAGUGGAAUUCCCGGUGUAGCAGUGAAAUGCGUAGAGAUCGGGAGGAACAUCUGUGGCGAAGGCGACUGCCUGGACCAGCACUGACACUGAGGCACGAAAGCGUGGGGAGCAAACA